Molecule: small nuclear RNA, 278 nt
Filed under: Castor canadensis (American beaver)
Lineage: Eukaryota; Metazoa; Chordata; Mammalia; Rodentia; Castoridae
Description: 7SK RNA (ENSCCNG00000017589.1)
Rfam family: 7SK RNA
About the family: 7SK was discovered as an abundant small nuclear RNA in the mid-70s but a possible function has only recently been suggested. Two independent studies have found that 7SK RNA binds the CDK9/cyclin T complex (known as elongation factor P-TEFb).
Source: Rfam by way of RNAcentral
GGAUUUAAGGGCAUCCUGGCUGUGACAUUUGUCACCCCAUUGAUUUCUAGUCGAUUCAGCUGAUCUGGCUGGCUUAGGGAGUGUCCCCUUCCUCUCAUUGCUCCACGUCCCUCUUGAAGCUGCACCCUUGGUCAGACAGGAUGGCUGUUCUUCGGUCAAGGGUAUACCAAUGGCUGUGCUCCCUGCUAGAACCUCUAAACAAGCCCCAAGUGUUCAUGUUGAUGCAAAGAAAUAUGAAAAAUAUAAUUAAUAAUCACUUUAGAAAACAAUUAGACAGU